GCUGUCGGAGGACAGCAACGCUCGACUAUUCAACAGCCUUGUCAAUUGAAUGAAUACAGAAGUUGAACAAGAGUGCAAGAAUGUCACAAUAUACGCCCGUCACAGCAAAUUUCUUUACUCUAGCACCUGUAUUUGCAAAUGGAAUUUUAAUUUUGUGGUUGUUUAGUAAUAACUAAGUGUUUUGUUUUUCUAAGUCCACAAAAAAACUCCUUACCAGGUAGAGAUACCUUAAAAUACACCUAAAAUUGGAAAGUAACAUCUAUGUUGUACCACAGAAAAGUGGUCUUGGUUUUUCCCUACGGUCAAUUAUAAAAAAGUUACAAUAUAAGUUAUUUAUAGUAACAACUAAGGGAAGUUAAUCUUAAAAAAAAAAAAAAAAAAAAAAUUGUAAGUCCUCACAAAAAUCUUUACCAGGUAGAGACUGGUCAAAAUACACCUCAAAAUUGGAUGUAGCAUGCAUGUUGUACUACAGAAAAGUGGUCUCGAUUUUUCCCUACGACUAGUAAUGAAAAAGUUACAAUAUAAGCUAUUUAUAGUAACAACAAAGGGAAGUAAUUCGAAAGAAGGGAACUGCGCAUGACACUUCGUCUCAUGAUGGUGUAUAAUUGUGUCAAGUUACAUCAAAAUCCCUCCAUGCAUGAAGAAGAAAUGCUUCGGACAAAGUCAUUCUUGUAUCUGACCUUUGGCCUCUAAGUGUGACCUUGACCUUAGACCUAGGGACCUGGUUCUUGCGCAUGACACUACGUCUCGUGGUGGUGAACAUUUGUGCCAAGUUAUAUCAAAAUCCCUCUAUGCAUGAAGAAGAAAUGCUCCGGACAAGGUUUUCAUUCUUGUAUCCUUUGACCUCUAAGUGUGACCUUGACCUUAGACCUAGAGACCUGGUUCUUGCGCAUGACACUCCGCCUCAUGGUGGUGAACAUUUGUGCCAAGUUAUAUCAAAAUCCCUCUAUGCAUGAAGAAGAAAUGCUCCGGACAAAGUUUUCAUUCUU
Molecule: long non-coding RNA, 989 nt
Organism: Mercenaria mercenaria
Lineage: Eukaryota; Metazoa; Mollusca; Bivalvia; Venerida; Veneridae
Exons: 2
Source: RefSeq, a predicted model, not a curated record